This 468-nucleotide ribosomal RNA is filed under the name uncultured bacterium. RNAcentral's name for it is "partial 16S ribosomal RNA". It matches the Rfam family "Bacterial small subunit ribosomal RNA", at positions 28 to 507 of the family's 1533-position model. The record is from RNAcentral.
GACGAACGCUGGCGGCGUGCUUAACACAUGCAAGUCGAACGGAAAGGCCCUGCUUUUGUGGGGUGCUCGCGUGGCGCACGGGUGAGUAACACGUGAGUAUCCUGCCCUUGACUUUGGGAUAACUUCAGGCAACUGGGGAUAAUACCGGCUAGGAGCUCCUGAUGCAUGGUGGGGUUUGGAAAGUUUCGGCGGAUGGGGAUGGACUGGCGGCUUAUCAGCUUGUUGGUGGGGGAGUGGCUUACCAAGUCUUUGGCGGGUAGCCGGCCUGAGAGGGUGACCAGGCACAAUGGGACUACGGGACGGACCAGACGCGAACGUGAGACAGCAGUGGGGAAUAUGGCACAAUGGGCGGAAGCCUGUGGCAGAAACGCCGCGAGCGUGAUGACGGCCUUCGGGUUGUAAACCGCUGUAGCUUGUGACGAAGCGUGAGUGACGGUAAUGGGUAAAGAAGCACCGGCUAACUACGUG